This 1897-nucleotide long non-coding RNA is filed under the name Anolis carolinensis (green anole). Its description in RNAcentral is "lncRNA (ENSACAG00000044773.1)". The record is from RNAcentral. Lineage: Eukaryota; Metazoa; Chordata; Lepidosauria; Squamata; Anolidae.
GGCCGGGCGGGGGGGCCCUCCCUCCCCAACGCGGCCUGGAGCCCCUUCGGCUCAGGUGAGGGCCGCCCCACGGGGGCUCGGAGGGGACAACAAGCGCUCGCCGGGCGCGCGGAGGGACCAAAAGCAGGGUGUCCUAAAGAUGGAUAUAGAGGACUGCAAUGGACGCUCUUACAUAUCUGGAAUCUCUUCUUCCUGGAAGGUGAGUGGCUGAGUUCACCCUACUGCCGAGAUGCAGCCACACACACUCACAGUCUGUAUGCCAGCGCUGUUUCCAAGGAGUUGGCUGUGAUAACACUCCAGGGUAUCGUCAGCAAGGUAGAAUAAUGUAGUGGAGAUUCCUCUUUGGAAAAGGAGUUCACCUCCACCAUUGUGGGGCCAACAGUGAGCACACCAAACAGCCAACACUCCUCCCCAAGCCGCUCCCUUAGUGGUGAGUAUUUAAUCUUGGGAUUCCAAUAAUUCACCCUGAAAAUGCAUUAUACUACGUUUUGACUGGGCUAGUGACCACAUUCAAAGGAAGACCAAUUUUCUGUUCUUGAGAUCUUCUUGCACCAGAGUACUAAAAAUGCCAAAACAAAGCACAACUGAAAUAGGUAGCAAGUUUACAUCUGGUCUUGAAUAAUAGACACUUCUUACUGUUAAGCAUGUUAGAAAAAAGCUAUCUCAUUGCCCAUGAAGGCUUUUAGAAGAGAUGAUCAACUUUUUUUAAACAGCAAAGUGACAUUCUUGAGAAAUUGGAGUACCAUACAAACCAUGCCACACUUUGCAAACUCCUAAUCUAAACCAAUAACUAUCUUUUCCAUUUGAUAAGACCAAGAUGUAAAAAUCAUGAAGUUCUCUGGAAAUUUUCAUAGGAUCAGAAUAUAGUGGAGCUAAGGGCUCUCAGGGUUGAAAUACUGGAACUUCAAAGGGAACCCCUUAGAUUUUAUUUGAAGACAUUGAAUCACUUUACAAUUCCUGUUACAUUAGAAAAGAAAAAGGCUGUUCAAGGCACUCUCUGUCAUAGUGAAUGGCAGCAGAUUGGAAUUGUUGACGGAAAGCAUUUACUGAUGUUGGCUUAUAUAAUGCAGAGAUUAGUUGGGGAAUUUAAAUACAAAGAGUACUAGGAAAAGACUAGUAUGCAUUAAUGGAUUCUAACUUGUUGCUGUCUGAAACUUCAGUCCUUGCUUGCUGUAAUUUAUAGUUAUUUUGUGUGUGAAAGAAACCAAAUUCUGUGGGAAAGUAUGAAGUUGCCAAAUUGUAGAAUGAACUUCUUGUUGUGGGUCUUCAGAUCUACUCUACCUUAUGGUGUCCUUCCCAUAGGGUUUGAUUAAGGCGGCUUGUUCACAUGAGAUUUGCCAUUGCCUUCCUCUGAAAUUGAGGGUGUAGACCUGUCUAGGGCCAUCCAGUGGGUUUCUAUAGUUGAGCGUGAUUCAGACCGAAUCAUCUGGGCUCUAAAACAAUCAAACUAGUAUACCAUGCUGGUAGAAUAACAGUUGUCUGCUUUUGGGAAUUGGAAAUAAUCCGUGUUUUUCAUUUGGUUUCUGCAUUACGUUGACUUUUUAUGAUUUUUCGCAUGAUAGAGCUGCAACAUCAUUUCUUACUCUGAAGUCUCUUGAUAUAUAUCCCAUCUGAUAGCCAGCUUGUAAAUGGUCACUUUGGAACCAAUGCAAGUAGAAGGGUGGGGUAUAAAAUAAAUAAAAACAAUUUCUUGGUUUUCAUCAUUUGGAAAAGAAUAUUCAGAAGUUCAUAUAAUGUGUUCUGCAUUUAGUUGAUUCCACAGAAAAUUAUCUGUUCUUUUGUUUGGUGUGAGAGACAAACUUGCUGAUUAAGUGAGCAUGCAGGAAAUAAAGAUGUUCCUCUUUAACAGGGAAACGCAGGCUCUUGGUGUUGCUUCUGAUCAGUCUUGAUUUCACAG